Molecule: ribosomal RNA, 301 nt
Filed under: uncultured bacterium
Lineage: Bacteria
Description: partial 16S ribosomal RNA
Rfam family: Bacterial small subunit ribosomal RNA
Source: RNAcentral
CAGUCGCCACGGUAAUACGAAGGGGGCUAGCGUUGUUCGGAAUUACUGGGAGUAAAGCGCACGUAGGCGGACAUUUAAGUCAGGGGUGAAAUCCCGGGGCUCAACCCCGGAACUGCCUUUGAUACUGGGUGUCUAGAGUAUGGAAGAGGUGAGUGGAAUUCCGAGUGUAGAGGUGAAAUUCGUAGAUAUUCGGAGGAACACCAGUGGCGAAGGCGGCUCACUGGUCCAUUACUGACGCUGAGGUGCGAAAGCGUGGGGAGCAAACAGGAUUAGAUACCCCCGUAGUCCCUGUCUCUUAUAC